GUCAUAACUACAAGUCUUCAUCUGUUCUCUUCAGAGGGCAUGACUCUGGGAAACUGAGCACUUUGAACGUGAGGGUCAUUCCAGAGUCCACUCAAAGGUUUCCCUUAGUGCGGGUCAAGGAAGUGCUUCCCUCAAUACCAGAGCUUGAAGUCACUUCUGCUGUGCACCAGCAAGAUCAGUACACAUGGCUAUCCUUGGACAAUCUGGACUAGAGACUUUGACGAAUAAUGAGAAUUUUGUUUUGGAUUGAGUGGACUGGUAAAUGCUUGGGUCCAGCGAAGGAAGCACUGAUAGGUGAAUGGCGGGGCUCAGACCCUGAAGAGAAUGAACAGGAGAGCGUCUAUCUGACCCACAAGAUCAAGGGAACGAGAGUGUGAGCUAUGGAAGACAUGAGAGAGCAUGGGAGUGCUCCCCUUCACCACCCGUCGCCAUCCCACGCAGCAUGGACCUCAGGUCUCCAUUCUGAGGAGCCAAUGACCAUGGAUGCAGAACCUCUCAUUGGAUCACGUUGCAGGUGCAGGAUAGUUUUUCCUACACAAAUGAUGUUUCUGUUUGGCAGGUUACUUAAGUGGGCCUGUGUAUUUAUUCAUACAU
RNAcentral lists this long non-coding RNA (594 nucleotides) under Rattus norvegicus (Norway rat). RNAcentral's name for it is "long non-coding RNA NONRATT009369". Lineage: Eukaryota; Metazoa; Chordata; Mammalia; Rodentia; Muridae. The record is from RNAcentral.